GACGAACGCUGGCGGCGUGCCUAAUACAUGCAAGUAGAACGCUGAAGAGAGGAGCUUGCUCUUCUUGGAUGAGUUGCGAACGGGUGAGUAACGCGUAGGUAACCUGCCUUGUAGCGGGGGAUAACUAUUGGAAACGAUAGCUAAUACCGCAUAACAAUGGAUGACCCAUGUCAUUUAUUUGAAAGGGGCAAAUGCUCCACUACAAGAUGGACCUGCGUUGUAUUAGCUAGUAGGUGAGGUAACGGCUCACCUAGGCGACGAUACAUAGCCGACCUGAGAGGGUGAUCGGCCACACUGGGACUGAGACACGGCCCAGACUCCUACGGGAGGCAGCAGUAGGGAAUCUUCGGCAAUGGGGGCAACCCUGACCGAGCAACGCCGCGGGAGUGAAGAAGGGUGUCGGAUCGUAAAGCUCUGUUGUAAGUCAAGAACGAGUGUGAGAGUGGAAAGUUCACACUGUGACGGUAGCUUACCAGAAAGGGACGGCUAACUACGUG
RNAcentral lists this ribosomal RNA (497 nucleotides) under uncultured bacterium. RNAcentral's name for it is "partial 16S ribosomal RNA". It matches the Rfam family "Bacterial small subunit ribosomal RNA", at positions 28 to 507 of the family's 1533-position model. The record is from RNAcentral.